GUACUCACUUCGGCAGCACAUGUACUAAAAUUAGAAUGAUACAGAGAAGAUUAGCGUGGCCCCUGUGUAACGAUGACACACAAAUUCGUGAAGCAUUCCAUAUUUUU
Small nuclear RNA from Loxodonta africana (African savanna elephant), 107 nucleotides. NCBI's taxonomy places the organism in Eukaryota, Metazoa, Chordata, Mammalia, Proboscidea, Elephantidae. The record is from Ensembl.